RNAcentral lists this unclassified non-coding RNA (1256 nucleotides) under Hevea brasiliensis (rubber tree). The record is from RNAcentral. Lineage: Eukaryota; Viridiplantae; Streptophyta; Magnoliopsida; Malpighiales; Euphorbiaceae.
CUUUGGGUUGUGCUAUAUGCACAUAUCUAUACGAUAAAUAGCUUCCAAGAAAAUUUUGAAGUUUCCAAUACAUGAAAUCGCUUUGUCAAAAGAGAAGGACAGAGAAAUCUAGCCUACUAAAUGUAAACAACAUUAGGGCAGCUUAUCUUUCUUUUGAUACUUGAGAAGCUAAAAGGCUCUCAACACAGCUGUUUCAGUCGACCCUUUUCGCAGAACAACAUAUACAACAAUUACUUGAAAGCCGUUAUCCGGUAUUCAGUAUUGGUCCUCGCAAGGAUCUUCAACGGGGACCCCAACGCAGCUUUUUACUGAAGUAAUGAAUUGCACCUGGCGGCACAAGAGCAUCAAAUAACGGCCCUUAUAAAAAAUGAUUCAGGCCUUGAUUAAUCUUCCAAUGAAUUGCUUCUGGAUCAGCUGGAUUCACAAAAAACUUGUCCCCAAAGAAAGAUCAUUCAAAUUCGAUAAAAUUUGUGCACGGGUUGUUCCGACCUGCUGAGCAAUCUCAAGUUGUUCCUCCAAUGGAAGCAUCUCAUAAUGAGAAAGCAGCUCACAAUCUACUAUGCUUUCAGGGCCAGGUCGGUGAACCCUUCCAUCUGCCUGAAACUGGCGGAAUGAUCUUGGAUUUAAGCCAGCAACAUGGGGAACAGCAUCGAUCAGUUUUUUCUGUAGUGACUGCAACCUACGAAAUGUGAGCUCGUCAAGAGGGGCCAAACAACCAAUGCUGCCAUCGAGAGUAAUAAACAAUAAAGCAAAGCGAUUGGUCUUAUCAGAGCCAGGAGCAGUUCCACUUCGAUCAGAUGUAGAAAGCAUUUGCAACCGUAUGAACUUAGUCACAUGGGCACCAACAUGAAAUUCAGCCCUUGAAAGCAGUUUCUGUCCUUUCCAGCUCUCGGACAUUUUUGGUGCAUAAUAGAAUAUCUGAAUGUUCUUUUGUUCAUCUGAAACCACAAGGCUAAGUGUACUUCCAUCAAUCAAAAACUCUGUUGCAAAACAAUCAAGUGAACCAAAAUCCUUUGCCAAUAAGCUGAGUUGAGCCCCCUGCUCCUUCCAACUAAGAAAGUAUAUGCUUUUGUGAAUAUCACCCAAUAGGAUAAAAUUCUUGACGAUAUUUAAGCUUACAACAUAUAAUGGUGGAGCAUCAUAAAAAGCAACACCAUUCAACUCUGUACCAGUCCACUUGUGUAAAAUAAUUUUAGGACCAGAAGCUAUCAACAGAUGACCUUGUAGCGAGGCCAAAGCAGAUAUAGCACCUUUCA